Panicum virgatum (switchgrass) is the source of this 492-nucleotide long non-coding RNA. RefSeq lists it as uncharacterized. Lineage: Eukaryota; Viridiplantae; Streptophyta; Magnoliopsida; Poales; Poaceae. The record is from RefSeq and is a predicted model, not a curated record. The transcript has 2 exons.
GUUCAUCAAUUUGCCAGGAUGCAUCCAGGACUGCAAUUUCUCAUGGUUAAUUAUAAUGAACAGACAGAGAUCUGCAAGAAGCUCAAUGUCUAUGUCUUGCCAUUGUUCCGCUUUUACAGAGGUGCUGAAGGUCGUAUCUGUAGCUUCAGUUGCACAAUUUCAACUAUUCACAAGUUCAAAGAUGCUCUGAAAAAGCAUGGGGUUCAGACUGAGAGUCUUGCAACAGAAAAGGGCUUAGUAGAAUCUGAAUCCAAGAGCCUUGCCCCACCUUCUGAUACUCCAAAUGCAAGUGAUCCUUCGCCGAACAUGGAUGGAGAUGACGGUCAGGUUGAACCGAGCAAUGAAUAAAUCAAUUUGCUGCAGACUGCCGAGUUCGAUAGUUUUCAUAUAUGCAUAUAGAAGCUUUGUAAUUUAAAAAUAAGGCCCAUAUGCUCUUGAACCGGCCCUUUGUUUUAAAAUUUUGACGGCUAAUAAACAUUAAAUGUAUAUCUA